Molecule: ribosomal RNA, 448 nt
Filed under: uncultured bacterium
Lineage: Bacteria
Description: bacterial SSU rRNA
Rfam family: Bacterial small subunit ribosomal RNA
Source: RNAcentral
UCCCAGACUCCUACGGGAGGCAGCAGUGGGGAAUAUUGGGCAAUGGAGGAAACUCUGACCCAGCAACGCCGCGUGAAGGAAGAAGGCUUUCGGGUUGUAAACUUCUUUUCUCAGGGACGAAUAGAUGACGGUACCUGAGGAAUAAGCCACGGCUAACUACGUGCCAGCAGCCGCGGUAAUACGUAGGUGGCAAGCGUUAUCCGGAUUUACUGGGUGUAAAGGGCGUGUAGGCGGGGACGCAAGUCAGAUGUGAAAACCACGAGCUCAACCUGUGGCCUGCAUUUGAAACUGUGUUUCUUGAGUACUGGAGAGGCAGACGGAAUUCCUAGUGUAGCGGUGAAAUGCGUAGAUAUUAGGAGGAACACCAGUGGCGAAGGCGGUCUGCUGGACAGCAACUGACGCUGAGGCGCGAAAGCGUGGGGAGCAAACAGGAUUAGAUACCCCUGUA